GUAGGUGGCAAGCGUUGUCCGGGAAUUAUUGGGGCGUAAAGCGCGCGCAGGCGGUUCUUUAAGUCUGAUGUGAAAGCCCACGGGCUCAACCGUGGAGGGUCAUUGGAAACUGGAGAACUUGAGUACAGAAGAGGAAAGCGGAAUUCCACGUGUAGCGGUGAAAUGCGUAGAGAUGUGGAGGAACACCAGUGGCGAAGGCGGCUUUCUGGUCUGUAACUGACGCUGAGGCGCGAAAGCGUGGGGAGCAAACAGGAUUAGAUACCCUGGUAGUCCACGCCGUAAACGAUGAGUGCUAAGUGUUAGGGGGUUUCCGCCCCUUAGUGCUGCAGCUAACGCAUUAAGCACUCCGCCUGGGGGAGUACGGCCGCAAAGGUUGA
RNAcentral lists this ribosomal RNA (377 nucleotides) under uncultured organism. RNAcentral describes it as "partial 16S ribosomal RNA". It matches the Rfam family "Bacterial small subunit ribosomal RNA", at positions 527 to 897 of the family's 1533-position model. The record is from RNAcentral.